This is an RNA transcript of Vanessa atalanta (red admiral), 1243 nucleotides long. RefSeq lists it as uncharacterized. The record is from RefSeq and is a predicted model, not a curated record. Lineage: Eukaryota; Metazoa; Arthropoda; Insecta; Lepidoptera; Nymphalidae. The transcript is spliced from 9 exons.
AGUAUGAUGACGUGUGGUUAAAUUCUCCCUUGUUUUUAUUAGUGCAUAAAAUAAAUACCAUCAUCGAGUACCUAAUAUAAAAAGAACCUCAAAUAAGCUUUUAUCUUCGGCAGACGCUUAGCGACGGUUGGAUUUAAAUACUAAAAUGGCGCGAAUAAUACUAGAGGUGAAGCAGGAGCUUCCUGAUGAUGACUAUGUUACGAUGACGUCCAAUUCUUCCGCAACAUCAAGUGACACGGAUGAUACAAAGGAUAACAUCCGCCUUCCGAUCAUGGAGAGAUUGGAUAGAGUUUUUAAACAACUAGACGAAAUCGUUAAACCAAACACUCCAGAACCACGCGAAUAUUUGGAAAUGGUCGAUGAUCCCGAUUGCGAUAUAGCACAAACAAGGGCCGAAGCAUGGGCGAGACAGAAUCAAGAAUACCAAAAUAAAUGCCCCGACUAUGAAUGGUUCCACAAAUAUAGGGAGCCACGACGACAGGCUGCGUCACCUCCCCCGCAGCCAAGAAAAGGGUGUGACAUAAAAACCAGUGCUGACCGGGAGGCCGCUGUUAACAAGAUCUAUGCUUUGGUGAAGGACAUAGAUAAUGUAAUAUACCGUAAGCCCAACAUAAAGAUAAAUCGCCCUCCGAUGUACUUCAGCUCACGUCACGGUGGCUCGAACACGGCCUCGACCUCGACGUCGACUCGCCCCCGACGUGAUAAGAGACAUCUGAAUAUUUCUCCGGCGUCAGUAAUUAUACAUUGUUCUAAAUGCAAGUCUUUAAAUAGACACAUCACGUACUUACGGAAUCGACACCAAGCUAGCCGACGGAAUAGGAUAUUUUUUUAAUCAUCGCACGGUAACAAACAACAACAAAGAUAUUAGACUUUUGGUUAUACUUAAUUUUGAAAUUGACCUCUCUUUUAAAUAAUCACAUUCUAGGAACUAAAAGCUACAUAUUUCUUACUCUGUAAAGACUGGAGACAUAUUGCCUCGUCAUCAAUCCGCUAUUACCUGAAGAUUCGCCCGUAAUGUAGGAGGCGGCUUCGUAAUUUGGUUUUAAAAUAAUAUAGGGAUUCAGUUAUAACCACUUUAAACCAGUAACGUUAUUUAAGCUUCAUGUAUUCAUUUCGAUGUUAGUGUAGCUCGUAUAAUGGAUGUUUUUGUCAUUUCAAAUAUGUAUCGUAGUGUAUACUUGAUGUUAUGCAUACAUAGGUUACAAUAUAGUAGAAAUAAAACAAAAAGAAAUAAAAAAGAAAA